RNAcentral lists this ribosomal RNA (460 nucleotides) under uncultured bacterium. Its description in RNAcentral is "partial 16S ribosomal RNA". It matches the Rfam family "Bacterial small subunit ribosomal RNA", at positions 338 to 795 of the family's 1533-position model. The record is from RNAcentral.
CCUACGGGAGGCAGCAGUGAGGAAUAUUGGUCAAUGGACGAGAGUCUGAACCAGCCAAGUCGCGUGAAGGAUGACUGCUCUAUGGUUUGUAAACUUCUUUUAUAUGGGAAUAAAAUGUUCCACGUGUGGGAUUUUGUAUGUACCCUAUGAAUAAGCAUCGGCUAACUCCGUGCCAGCAGCCGCGGUAAUACGGAGGAUCCGAGCGUUAUCCGGAUUUAUUGGGUUUAAAGGGAGCGUAGGUUGAUUGUUAAGUCAGUUGUGAAAGUUUGCGGCUCAACCGUAAAAUUGCAGUUGAAACUGGCAGUCGUGAGUACAGUAGAGGUGGGCGGAAUGCGUGGUGUAGCGGUGAAAUGCAUAGAUAUCACGAAGAACUCCGAUUGCGAAGGCAGCUCACUGGACUGCAACUGACACUGAGGCUCGAAAGUGUGGGUAUCAAACAGGAUUAGAUACCCGUGUAGUC